GGUUAAGCGACUAAGCGUACACGGUGGAUGCCCUGGCAGUCAGAGGCGAUGAAGGGCGUGCUAAUCUGCGAUAAGCGCCGGUAAGGUGAUAUGAACCGUUAUAACCGGCGAUACCCGAAUGGGGAAACCCAGUGUGACUCGUCACACUAUCAUUAACUGAAUCCAUAGGUUAAUGAGGCGAACCGGGGGAACUGAAACAUCUAAGUACCCCGAGGAAAAGAAAUCAACCGAGAUUCCCCCAGUAGCGGCGAGCGAACGGGGAGGAGCCCAGAGCCUGAAUCAGCAUGUGUGUUAGUGGAAGCGUCUGGAAAGGCGCGCGAUACAGGGUGACAGCCCCGUACACAAAAGCGCAUGUGCUGUGAGCUCGAUGAGUAGGGCGGGACACGUGGUAUCCUGUCUGAAUAUGGGGGGACCAUCCUCCAAGGCUAAAUACUCCUGACUGACCGAUAGUGAACCAGUACCGUGAGGGAAAGGCGAAAAGAACCCCGGCGAGGGGAGUGAAAAAGAACCUGAAACCGUGUACGUACAAGCAGUGGGAGCACAGGUUUACCUGUGUGACUGCGUACCUUUUGUAUAAUGGGUCAGCGACUUAUAUUCUGUAGCAAGGUUAACCGAAUAGGGGAGCCGGAGGGAAACCGAGUCUUAAUUGGGCGUUAAGUUGCAGGGUAUAGACCCGAAACCCGGUGAUCUAGCCAUGGGCAGGUUGAAGGUUGGGUAACACUAACUGGAGGACCGAACCGACUAAUGUUGAAAAAUUAGCGGAUGACCUGUGGCUGGGGGUGAAAGGCCAAUCAAACCGGGAGAUAGCUGGUUCUCCCCGAAAGCUAUUUAGGUAGCGCCUCGUGAAUUCAUCUCCGGGGGUAGAGCACUGUUUCGGCUAGGGGGCCAUCCCGGCUUACCAACCCGAUGCAAACUGCGAAUACCGGAGAAUGUUAUCACGGGAGACACACGGCGGGUGCUAACGUCCGUCGUGAAGAGGGAAACAACCCAGACCGCCAGCUAAGGUCCCAAAGUCAUGGUUAAGUGGGAAACGAUGUGGGAAGGCCCAGACAGCCAGGAUGUUGGCUUAGAAGCAGCCAUCAUUUAAAGAAAGCGUAAUAGCUCACUGGUCGAGUCGGCCUGCGCGGAAGAUGUAACGGGGCUAAACCAUGCACCGAAGCUGCGGCAGCGAACGUAUCACUUAAAGCGAUUCAGCGGGUUACGAUUGACGGAGCGAAGCGACGUCAAAGCGUAUACAAAGUCGAGUCGGUUUAAGGAUACGUUCGUUGGGUAGGGGAGCGUUCUGUAAGCCUGUGAAGGUGGCCUGUGAGGGUUGCUGGAGGUAUCAGAAGUGCGAAUGCUGACAUAAGUAACGAUAAAGCGGGUGAAAAGCCCGCUCGCCGGAAGACCAAGGGUUCCUGUCCAACGUUAAUCGGGGCAGGGUGAGUCGACCCCUAAGGCGAGGCCGAAAGGCGUAGUCGAUGGGAAACAGGUUAAUAUUCCUGUACUUGGUGUUACUGCGAAGGGGGGACGGAGAAGGCUAUGUUGGCCGGGCGACGGUUGUCCCGGUUUAAGCGUGUAGGCUGGUUUUCCAGGCAAAUCCGGAAAAUCAAGGCUGAGGCGUGAUGACGAGGCACUACGGUGCUGAAGCAACAAAUGCCCUGCUUCCAGGAAAAGCCUCUAAGCAUCAGGUAACAUCAAAUCGUACCCCAAACCGACACAGGUGGUCAGGUAGAGAAUACCAAGGCGCUUGAGAGAACUCGGGUGAAGGAACUAGGCAAAAUGGUGCCGUAACUUCGGGAGAAGGCACGCUGACACGUAGGUGAAGUGAUUUACUCAUGGAGCUGAAGUCAGUCGAAGAUACCAGCUGGCUGCAACUGUUUAUUAAAAACACAGCACUGUGCAAACACGAAAGUGGACGUAUACGGUGUGACGCCUGCCCGGUGCCGGAAGGUUAAUUGAUGGGGUCAGCGCAAGCGAAGCUCCUGAUCGAAGCCCCGGUAAACGGCGGCCGUAACUAUAACGGUCCUAAGGUAGCGAAAUUCCUUGUCGGGUAAGUUCCGACCUGCACGAAUGGCGUAAUGAUGGCCAGGCUGUCUCCACCCGAGACUCAGUGAAAUUGAACUCGCUGUGAAGAUGCAGUGUACCCGCGGCAAGACGGAAAGACCCCGUGAACCUUUACUAUAGCUUGACACUGAACAUUGAGCCUUGAUGUGUAGGAUAGGUGGGAGGCUUUGAAGUGUGGACGCCAGUCUGCAUGGAGCCGACCUUGAAAUACCACCCUUUAAUGUUUGAUGUUCUAACGUGGACCCGUAAUCCGGGUUGCGGACAGUGUCUGGUGGGUAGUUUGACUGGGGCGGUCUCCUCCUAAAGAGUAACGGAGGAGCACGAAGGUUGGCUAAUCCUGGUCGGACAUCAGGAGGUUAGUGCAAUGGCAUAAGCCAGCUUGACUGCGAGCGUGACGGCGCGAGCAGGUGCGAAAGCAGGUCAUAGUGAUCCGGUGGUUCUGAAUGGAAGGGCCAUCGCUCAACGGAUAAAAGGUACUCCGGGGAUAACAGGCUGAUACCGCCCAAGAGUUCAUAUCGACGGCGGUGUUUGGCACCUCGAUGUCGGCUCAUCACAUCCUGGGGCUGAAGUAGGUCCCAAGGGUAUGGCUGUUCGCCAUUUAAAGUGGUACGCGAGCUGGGUUUAGAACGUCGUGAGACAGUUCGGUCCCUAUCUGCCGUGGGCGCUGGAGAACUGAGGGGGGCUGCUCCUAGUACGAGAGGACCGGAGUGGACGCAUCACUGGUGUUCGGGUUGUCAUGCCAAUGGCACUGCCCGGUAGCUAAAUGCGGAAGAGAUAAGUGCUGAAAGCAUCUAAGCACGAAACUUGCCCCGAGAUGAGUUCUCCCUGAGACUUAGAGUCUCCUGAAGGAACGUUGAAGACGACGACGUUGAUAGGCCGGGUGUGUAAGCGCAGCGAUGCGUUGAGCUAACCGGUACUAAUGAACCGUGAGGCUUAACCUU
Molecule: ribosomal RNA, 2987 nt
Filed under: Salmonella enterica
Lineage: Bacteria; Pseudomonadati; Pseudomonadota; Gammaproteobacteria; Enterobacterales; Enterobacteriaceae
Description: 23S ribosomal RNA
Rfam family: Bacterial large subunit ribosomal RNA
Source: RNAcentral